This 125-nucleotide non-coding RNA is filed under the name Kibdelosporangium aridum. Lineage: Bacteria; Bacillati; Actinomycetota; Actinomycetes; Pseudonocardiales; Pseudonocardiaceae. The record is from RNAcentral.
GCCGGUCCGAGAUGGACCGGUUCCGUUCAGGUACCAGGAAGCCGGUGUGAGUCCGGCGCGGUCCCGCCACUGUGACCGUGACCUCGUCACGGAAGUCAGGAACUGCCCUGUUCGGACGGCCCCAG